This 253-nucleotide ribosomal RNA is filed under the name uncultured bacterium. Its description in RNAcentral is "partial 16S ribosomal RNA". It matches the Rfam family "Bacterial small subunit ribosomal RNA", at positions 524 to 776 of the family's 1533-position model. The record is from RNAcentral.
UACGGUGGGGGCUAGCGUUGUUCGGAAAUACUGGGCGUAAAGCGCACGUAGGCGGCGCGGCAAGUCAGGGGUGAAAUCCCGGGGCUCAACCCCGGAACUGCCCUUGAAACUGCCGUGCUAGAAUCUUGGAGAGGCGAGUGGAAUUCCGAGUGUAGAGGUGAAAUUCGUGGAUAUUCGGAAGAACACCAGUGGCGUAGGCGACUCGCUGGACAAGUAUUGACGCUGAGGUGCGAAAGCGUGGGGAGCAAACAGG